AGAGUUUGAUCCUGGCUCAGGAUGAACGCUAGCGGCAGGCUUAACACAUGCAAGUCGAGGGGUAGAGGUUGCUUGCAACCUUGAGACCGGCGCACGGGUGCGUAACGCGUAUGCAACCUACCUUUUACAGAGGGAUAGCCCAGAGAAAUUUGGAUUAAUACCUCAUAGUAUAUAUCUUUCGCAUGUUAGGUAUAUUAAAGUUCCAACGGUAAAAGAUGGGCAUGCGUCCUAUUAGCUAGAUGGUAAGGUAACGGCUUACCAUGGCUACGAUAGGUAGGGGUCCUGAGAGGGAGAUCCCCCACACUGGUACUGAGACACGGACCAGACUCCUACGGGAGGCAGCAGUGAGGAAUAUUGGACAAUGGGCGCAAGCCUGAUCCAGCCAUGCCGCGUGCAGGAAGAAGCAUCUAUGGUGUGUAAACUGCUUUUGUACAGGAAGAAACAUCCCGACGUGUCGGGACUUGACGGUACUGUAAGAAUAAGGAUCGGCUAACUCCGUGCCAGCAGCCGCGGUAAUACGGAGGAUCCAAGCGUUAUCCGGAAUCAUUGGGUUUAAAGGGUCCGUAGGCGGUUUGGUAAGUCAGUGGUGAAAGCCCGCAGCUCAACUGUGGAACGGCCAUUGAUACUGCCAGACUUGAAUUACAAGGAAGUAACUAGAAUAUGUAGUGUAGCGGCGAAAUGCUUAGAUAUUACAUGGAAUACCAAUUGCGAAGGCAGGUUACUACUUGUGGAUUGACGCUGAUGGACGAAAGCGUGGGGAGCGAACAGGAUUAGAUACCCUGGUAGUCCAA
RNAcentral lists this ribosomal RNA (791 nucleotides) under uncultured bacterium. RNAcentral's name for it is "bacterial SSU rRNA". It matches the Rfam family "Bacterial small subunit ribosomal RNA", at positions 8 to 798 of the family's 1533-position model. The record is from RNAcentral.